AUGGCGACGGCCGACGCCGCCUUCCCUCACCACAGCGGACACAGACGGAUGUCUCUCCCCUGGUUUCUCACUGAACGACAGGAGCAGAGCCCCACUGUGGCAACAAUGGACAAGGAAAAGGGGAAGGACAGAAGCAGAAGGGGAAGGGCAUGGGCAAGGGUUGUGUCGCUGCAGAGGAAGCGGGCCAAGGAUUACGGCAAUGUCCCGCUUGCCGAAUUGUUAUUAAGGAUCCGCACCAACCCCACUGUCCGCCGCUGGAUGGCGGAUCUCAAGACUGCCGCCUACCAAGCCGACCACGUCCUCGAAAACUUCCGCUACGAGGCGCUGCGGUGCUGUGCCGACGACCACAUCCGCGGCCCCUUCUCCACAAUGAAGCAUGAUAAGCAAGCGGAGAAGGAUUAUGAAGAGGAGGAAGACAAUGAGGAGGACGAGGAUGAGCAAGUUCAAAGGAGGAGCUGUCCAAAAUUCAAAAGCAAUGAUGCCCAAUUCUUUUCAUCACUAUGA
RNAcentral lists this ribosomal RNA (504 nucleotides) under Triticum aestivum (bread wheat). RNAcentral's name for it is "partial small subunit ribosomal RNA". Lineage: Eukaryota; Viridiplantae; Streptophyta; Magnoliopsida; Poales; Poaceae. The record is from RNAcentral.